AGCUCCAAUAGUGUAUAUUAAUACUGCUGCGGUUAAAAAGCUCGUAGUUGGAUCUCGGCGGGCUGGGGGCGGUUCGUUCUUCGACGCUACUGCCCCUCUGCGCCCGCGAAACGUUCGGUGGAGGUCUCUCUCCCCGGGUGCUCUUGAUCGAGUGUCCGGGGGGCGCCACCAGGUUUACUUUGAAAAAAUUAGAGUGCUCAGGGCAGGCUUGACACGCUUGGAUAGCCGUGCAUGGAAUGAUGGAAUAGGACGUCGUUUCUAUUUUGUUGGUUUUCGGAAAUCGACGUAAUGAUAAAUAGGGACAGUCGGGGGCAUUAGUAUUCAGGCGACAGAGGUGAAAUUCUUGGACCGCCUGAAGACUGACGACUGCGAAAGCAUUUGCCAAGAAUGUUUUCA
This 396-nucleotide ribosomal RNA is filed under the name uncultured eukaryote. RNAcentral describes it as "SSU rRNA". It matches the Rfam family "Eukaryotic small subunit ribosomal RNA", at positions 587 to 972 of the family's 1831-position model. The record is from RNAcentral.